RNAcentral lists this ribosomal RNA (295 nucleotides) under uncultured bacterium. RNAcentral's name for it is "partial 16S ribosomal RNA". It matches the Rfam family "Bacterial small subunit ribosomal RNA", at positions 581 to 881 of the family's 1533-position model. The record is from RNAcentral.
UGUUAAGGAUGUGAAAUCCCCGGGCUCAACCUGGGAACAGCAUACUAAACUGGUGGACUAGAGUAUUGCAGGGGGAGACGGAAUUCCGGGUGUAGCGGUGGAAUGCGUAGAUAUCUGGAAGAACACCGAAGGCGAAGGCAGUCUCCUGGGCAAAUACUGACGCUCAUAUGCGAAAGCGUGGGUAGCAAACAGGAUUAGAUACCCUGGUAGUCCACGUCGUAAACGAUGUCAAUUAGGAGCUUGGGCAAUAGUCUGGGUUCCGCAGCUAACGCAAUAAAUUGACCGCCUGGGGAGU